RNAcentral lists this ribosomal RNA (497 nucleotides) under uncultured bacterium. RNAcentral describes it as "partial 16S ribosomal RNA". It matches the Rfam family "Bacterial small subunit ribosomal RNA", at positions 28 to 507 of the family's 1533-position model. The record is from RNAcentral.
GAUGAACGCUGGCGGCGUGCCUAAUACAUGCAAGUCGAGCGAACAGAUAAGGAGCUUGCUCCUUUGACGUUAGCGGCGGACGUGUGAGUAACACGUGUGUAACCUACCUAUAAGACUGGAAUAACUCCGGGAAACCGGGGCUAAUGCCGGAGAACAUUUAGAACCGCAUGGUUCUAAAGUGAGAGAUGGUUUUGCUAUCACUUAUAGAGGGACCCGCGCCGUAUUAGGUAGUUGGUAAGGUAACGGCUUACCAAGGCAACGAUACGUAGCCGACCUGAGAGGGUGAUCGGCCACACUGGAACUGAGACACGGUCCAGACUCCUACGGGAGGCCGCAGUAGGGAAUCUUCCGCAAAGGGCGAAAGCCUGACGGAGCAACGCCGCGUGAGUGAUGAAGGUCUUCGGAUCGUAAAACUCUGUUAUUAGGGAAGAACAAAUGUGUAAGUAACUGUGCACGUCUUGACGGUACCUAAUCAGAAAGCCACGGCUAACUACGUG